AGCGAACGCUGGCGGCAGGCUUAACACAUGCAAGUCGAGCGCGUGUAGCAAUACACGAGCGGCAGACGGGAGAGUAACACGUGGGAACGUACCCUUUGGUUCGGAAUAAUCCAGGGAAACUUGGACUAAUACCGGAUAAGCCCUUACGGGGAAAGGAUUUAUCGCCGAAGGAUCGGCCCGCGUCUGAUUAGCUAGUUGGUGAGGUAACGGCUCACCAAGG
RNAcentral lists this ribosomal RNA (220 nucleotides) under uncultured bacterium. RNAcentral's name for it is "partial 16S ribosomal RNA". It matches the Rfam family "Bacterial small subunit ribosomal RNA", at positions 29 to 273 of the family's 1533-position model. The record is from RNAcentral.